AAUGUACAUUCAAUGAAAUAUAUUGAAUGGAAUAGUAUGAUAAUCAAUUCGCGAUAAUUUGUUUCUAUAAUACGCACCAAUUUGUUUAUGCUGUUUUAAUUGUCAAUAUGCACAAUUGAAAUAUUUAAAUAUUAAAUAUAUCAUCUUAUGAUGGGAAAUCAGAUCUUAUUUCAAUGUUCAAACAAUUCAGCGAAAACUGAAAUUGUAUCACAUAAUAAUCAAUCUGAACAUACAACUUCCAAUAUCUAUUGAACCAUGUUAACGUAGAAAUACAUGGGCAAAUUCGUAAGUAAUAACAAAUGUUCGAUAUAGUUUAAAUGUACCAUAUCAAUUCACUAGGUUCCUCCGCUUCGUUGUCAUCAGAUUCUUAGAAGCACCAGAUCGAGUUGUUUUAUGGAACACUUCGUAUAAAUACAGAGACUGGCGAAACUAUGUCUGUUCGACACAAACUAAUGUACUCUGUAUAGGAAAUUCGAUAUCGUAAUUCGUAAAUGGAAAAUAUAGAUAUGCUGUAUAUACUAUUAUUUUUAUUUUUCAAAGUGUAUUUAAUGACAACGUGAUAGUAAUGUGACACAUAAAUGAAAAGUAUCUACAACUUUAUAUUUAAUAUUUUAUCUGCCCUAAUAUAUAAUUAUCAUUAUUAAAAUGCAUUUGACUUAAGUAAAAAAUAUAAGCAUAACAGCAUAUUUAAAAAUAGAAGCAAUGCAAUUGCACAAAAGAAGAUACAGUAGUUUCUAAAAACCAACCAACAUAGUGCAAAAAAAUGUAUCAAAUGAACCUUGAAAAUACUGGAAGAAACAUGAUCCCAUUAUUAUGUACAUUUGUGUUCUUUUCCUGGAUCUCACCAGUCUUUAAUUAUAAUCCGUUUGUCAGAUCCAGAAAAAAUCGUAAGAAUCAAACAAUGAUAAGAAAUAUAUUAAUAUUUCGGAAAGAAACUUUUUUAGGCAUGUGAAUUAUUGCC
This is a long non-coding RNA of Nicrophorus vespilloides, 961 nucleotides long. RefSeq lists it as uncharacterized. The record is from RefSeq and is a predicted model, not a curated record. NCBI's taxonomy places the organism in Eukaryota, Metazoa, Arthropoda, Insecta, Coleoptera, Silphidae. The transcript has 2 exons.